ACGGGAGGCAGCAGUGGGGAAUAUUGGGCAAUGGGCGCAAGCCUGACCCAGCAACGCCGUGUGAAGGAAGAAGGUCUUCGGAUUGUAAACUUUUGUCUUAUGGGACGAUAAUGACGGUACCAUAGGAGGAAGUCACGACUAACUACGUGCCAGCAGUCGCGGUAAUACGUAGGUGACAAGCGUUAUCCGGAAUUAUUGGGUGUAAAGGGUGCGUAGGCGGGCUGUAAAGUCAGAUGUGAAAUACCGGGGCUCAACUCCGGAGCUGCAUUUGAAACUACGGUCUUGAGUGAAGUAGAGGUAAGCGGAAUUCCCAGUGUAGCGGUGAAAUGCGUAGAUAUUGGGAGGAACACCAGUGGCGAAGGCGGCUUACUGGGCUUUUACUGACGCUGAGGCACGAAAGUGUGGGGAGCAAACAGGAUUAGAUACCCUGGUA
RNAcentral lists this ribosomal RNA (433 nucleotides) under uncultured Ruminococcus sp. RNAcentral's name for it is "partial 16S ribosomal RNA". It matches the Rfam family "Bacterial small subunit ribosomal RNA", at positions 341 to 792 of the family's 1533-position model. The record is from RNAcentral. Lineage: Bacteria; Bacillati; Bacillota; Clostridia; Eubacteriales; Oscillospiraceae.